This is a long non-coding RNA of Nicotiana tabacum (common tobacco), 613 nucleotides long. RefSeq lists it as uncharacterized. Lineage: Eukaryota; Viridiplantae; Streptophyta; Magnoliopsida; Solanales; Solanaceae. The record is from RefSeq and is a predicted model, not a curated record.
UUCAGAACAAAUUAUAAAGCCCUCCGAUGGACACCAAGGUUGAUUCACUGAUCGGAGCUGCUAAAUAUUGAAAAUAUGAGUGCAAGAUUAAUAAUGGUUGUUGCUCUUGUGGUUGCUCUCGUUUGCGGAAUCAAAGGUGAAGGGAGUUAUAGUAGAAAAUUAUUUGGGGGUUUCUUAGGAUUCGGUCCAUUCGGAUUCCCUGGGGGCAUUUUUGGUUUCCCUGAAACAGAUACCAUUCAAAUUCCUCCUCCGCCGCCGCCGCCUUCACCGGAUAUAUUAUGCCAGGGUGAGCCACUUUUUGACGGAAAUCAAGAUUCUACUCAGAUUGAUCAAUCGAAUCAAUACCCAAUUGGCAUUGAUCAAACUCCAAUAAUCGAUGAAUCAAAUUCAUAUGACUAUAGUGAUGAUCCUAUAGAUUAAUCGAGAGAGAGGAAGAGACUCUCUACUACGUAGAUUAUAAGUUUUUUCUUUUUGGUUGCAAAAUAAGAGAACAAAAAUUAAAUUAUCUGUCCCUUCUCAUCUCCUCAUUAUUUUUCUCUGGCUAGCUUGUUUCAUUCACCCAUCUAGAUAAUUAUAUUCAUCUAAUAUAAUUCUACCCCAUUUGCAUUCCAGA